UUGCNCAUGGCUCAGAUUGAACGCUGGCGGCAGGCCUAACACAUGACAAGUCGAGCGGUAACAGAAGUAGCUUGCUACUUUGCUGACGAGCGGCGGACGGGUGAGUAAUGCUUGGGAACAUGCCUUGAGGUGGGGGACAACAGUUGGAAACGACUGCUAAUACCGCAUAAUGUCUACGGACCAAAGGGGGCUUCGGCUCUCGCCUUUAGAUUGGCCCAAGUGGGAUUAGCUAGUUNGUGAGGUAAUGGCUCACCAAGGCAACGAUCCCUAGCUGGUUUGAGAGGAUGAUCAGCCACACUGGAACUGAGACACGGUCCAGACUCCUACGGGAGGCAGCAGUGGGGAAUAUUGCACAAUGGGCGAAAGCCUGAUGCAGCCAUGCCGCGUGUGUGAAGAAGGCCUUCGGGUUGUAAAGCACUUUCAGUCAGGAGGAAAGGGUGUGAGUUAAUACCUCAAAUCUGUGACGUUACUGACAGAAGAAGCACCGGCUAACUCCGUGCCAGCAGCCGCGGUAAUACGGAGGGUGCGAGCGUUNAUCGGAAUUACUGGGCGUAAAGCGUACGCAGGCGGUUUGUUAAGCGAGAUGUGAAAGCCCCGGGCUCACCUGGAACUGCAUUUCGAACUGGCAAACUAGAGUGUGAUAGAGGGUGGUAGAAUUUCAGGUGUAGCGGUGAAAUGCGUAGAGAUCUGAAGGAAUACCGAUGGCGAAGGCAGCCACCUGGGUCAACACUGACGCUCAUGUACGAAAGCGUGGGGAGCAAACGGGAUUAGAUACCCCGGUAGUCCACGCCGUAAACGAUGUCUACUAGAAGCUCGGAACCUCGGUUCUGUUUUUCAAAGCUAACGCAUUAAGUAGACCGCCUGGGGAGUACGGCCGCAAGGUUAAAACUCAAAUGAAUUGACGGGGGCCCGCACAAGCGGUGGAGCAUGUGGUUUAAUUCGAUGCAACGCGAAGAACCUUACCUACACUUGACAUACAGAGAACUUUCUAGAGAUAGAUUGGUGCCUUGCGGGA
Molecule: ribosomal RNA, 1015 nt
Filed under: Pseudoalteromonas tetraodonis
Lineage: Bacteria; Pseudomonadati; Pseudomonadota; Gammaproteobacteria; Alteromonadales; Pseudoalteromonadaceae
Description: bacterial SSU rRNA
Rfam family: Bacterial small subunit ribosomal RNA
Source: RNAcentral